This 625-nucleotide ribosomal RNA is filed under the name uncultured bacterium. Its description in RNAcentral is "bacterial SSU rRNA". It matches the Rfam family "Bacterial small subunit ribosomal RNA", at positions 23 to 608 of the family's 1533-position model. The record is from RNAcentral.
CUCAGGACGAACGCUGGCGGCGUGCCUAAUACAUGCAAGUCGAGCGAGCUUGCCUAGAUGAUUUUAGUGCUUGCACUAAAUGAAACUAGAUACAAGCGAGCGGCGGACGGGUGAGUAACACGUGGGUAACCUGCCCAAGAGACUGGGAUAACACCUGGAAACAGAUGCUAAUACCGGAUAACAACACUAGACGCAUGUCUAGAGUUUGAAAGAUGGUUCUGCUAUCACUCUUGGAUGGACCUGCGGUGCAUUAGCUAGUUGGUAAGGUAACGGCUUACCAAGGCAAUGAUGCAUAGCCGAGUUGAGAGACUGAUCGGCCACAUUGGGACUGAGACACGGCCCAAACUCCUACGGGAGGCAGCAGUAGGGAAUCUUCCACAAUGGACGAAAGUCUGAUGGAGCAACGCCGCGUGAGUGAAGAAGGGUUUCGGCUCGUAAAGCUCUGUUGGUAGUGAAGAAAGAUAGAGGUAGUAACUGGCCUUUAUUUGACGGUAAUUACUUAGAAAGUCACGGCUAACUACGUGCCAGCAGCCGCGGUAAUACGUAGGUGGCAAGCGUUGUCCGGAUUUAUUGGGCGUAAAGCGAGUGCAGGCGGUUCAAUAAGUCUGAUGUGAAAGCCUUCGGC